UACGGGAGGCAGCAGUGGGGAAUAUUGCACAAUGGGCGCAAGCCUGAUGCAGCCAUGCCGCGUGUAUGAAGAAGGCCUUCGGGUUGUAAAGUACUUUCAGUCGUGAGGAAGGUGUUAAGGUUAAUAACCUUAGCAAUUGACGUUAGCGACAGAAGAAGCACCGGCUAACUCCGUGCCAGCAGCCGCGGUAAUACGGAGGGUGCGAGCGUUAAUCGGAAUUACUGGGCGUAAAGGGCACGCAGGCGGUUAAUUAAGUUGGAUGUGAAAUCCCCGGGCUUAACCUGGGAAUGGCAUUCAAGACUGGUUAGCUAGAGUCUUGUAGAGGGGGCAGAAUUCCAUGUGUAGCGGUGAAAUGCGUAGAAAUGUGGAGGAAUACCGGUGGCGAAGGCGGCCCCUGGACAAAGACUGACGCUCAUGUGCGAAAGCGUGGGGAGCAAACAGGGAUUAGAUACC
RNAcentral lists this ribosomal RNA (453 nucleotides) under uncultured bacterium. RNAcentral describes it as "bacterial SSU rRNA". It matches the Rfam family "Bacterial small subunit ribosomal RNA", at positions 340 to 786 of the family's 1533-position model. The record is from RNAcentral.